GGGGCGCUAAGGGGCCAGUAAUCCAAGAGCUUCGCUGUUUCUUAACCGUGAAUGUCCUCCACAAUGUUAGCAAUGGUCAGGUUGGGGAUGGGCUGUUGCGGGUGAUUUCUUUACAUGGUAUUUGCUUAUAGUGCUUGGAUUUUUUUUCUUUCUUUUUUUUUUUUUUUGCCAAUGUAUUUAAAUUUUCACAAAAACAAAAGCCUUUUUAAAAGCAAAAAGAUAGGUCAGGAGUUCGAGACCAGCCUGGCCAACAUGGUGAAACCCCCAUCUCUACUAAAAAUACAAAAAUUAGCCGGGCAUGGUGACGCGCACCCGUAAUCCCAGCUACUUAGGAAGCUGAGGCAGGAGAAUGGCUUGAACCUGGCAGGCGGAGGUUGCAGUGAGCCGAGCUCACACCAGUACACUCCAGCCUGGGUGACAGAGUGAGACUCCGUCUAAAAAAAAAAAAAAAAAAAAGCCAUGAGACGGGCAAGUGAAAGUCUGAAACAGAUGUAGAUUCCAAUUCUCCUAUUUCUGCCACUUAGCCAUGCUGGGUCUCAGCAUCUCAUUUGCAAAAGGCCUUGCUGAGUUUCUCUAGGGGCAGGUAGCACACACCUGCCUUAUGUCAUGUGUUUGGAAAAACUUUUGUCUCCUCAUAACUCCAGCACAGCUCAGAGAUGGGAAGGCGACUUUUUAUAUUAACCUGAGGAGGGUAUUAAAUGAAGAAGGCAAUCCAGACAAGUGGCUAUUUCCUCCUAGCUUUGGCUCUGGGGACACCUUGGCAUCCUGGGUGACAUGGUAGGUUACAGAGCCGCUAAAAUGGGCAUGGGCAGACACACUGAUCCAAUACUAAGAGUUCAGCUGUAGCGUCCGGUGUUUCAUGAUACUCACUUGUCUUCCUCCCUUGCAACCCAGCCAUUUCAUGGGACCAACGGGCCACCACAGGGCAUGGGAUCAGAUCUCAACACAUUCUGCAGGCCCUUGUCGAAAUUCUUCCCUAGUUCACUAGUGGGAGAGGGAUUGGGUGUGGUUGCCAAAGAAAUAAAAGCG
RNAcentral lists this long non-coding RNA (1029 nucleotides) under Homo sapiens (human). RNAcentral describes it as "HSALNT0097859". Lineage: Eukaryota; Metazoa; Chordata; Mammalia; Primates; Hominidae. The record is from RNAcentral.